RNAcentral lists this ribosomal RNA (423 nucleotides) under uncultured prokaryote. Its description in RNAcentral is "bacterial SSU rRNA". It matches the Rfam family "Bacterial small subunit ribosomal RNA", at positions 355 to 796 of the family's 1533-position model. The record is from RNAcentral.
UGGGGAAUCUUGGACAAUGGGGGCAACCCUGAUCCAGCGACGCCGCGUGGGUGGUAAGGCCUUCGGGUUGUAAAGCCCUUUCGCCGGGGACGAUGAUGACGGUACCCGGAGAAGAAGCGCCGGCUAACUCCGUGCCAGCAGCCGCGGUAAUACGGAGGGGGCUAGCGUUGUUCGGAAUUACUGGGCGUAAAGCGCGCGUAGGCGGACUUUCAAGUCAGGGGUGAAAUCCCGAGGCUCAACCUCGGAACUGCCUUUGAUACUGAUGGUCUUGAGUCCGAGAGAGGUGAGUGGAAUUCCUAGUGUAGAGGUGAAAUUCGUAGAUAUUAGGAAGAACACCAGUGGCGAAGGCGGCUCACUGGCUCGGUACUGACGCUGAGGCGCGAAAGCGUGGGGAGCAAACAGGAUUAGAUACCCCGGUAGUCC